ACGUUAUCUAUCAAGUCCGCCGCCCAACGGUUGUAGUGAUGUGUCCCAUUAGAUUUAUAUAAAGACAACCCUGUCCCACCCCAUGGAUUGGUAAAAAUAAAUAGAUACUUUUCGAAGGACUUCAACUCCUGAACAACAACAAAAAAUGGACCAAAGGACUUUCCGGGGGACUCAUGACUUGCCUUGAAGACUUCUUUGGUGUGGAAGGGUUCACAGACGAGUUUCUCCAUGUUUCCUCCAGCCAGGAAGAUAAUGGUCACCACUCCCAUCAGCACCAAGGAGAAGAUGAUGCUGAAUCCAACGCCACUGUGGAGAAGGUCAAACAGGCCCUCAGGCUUCAGGCGACUCGGUGCUGAUUUGACAAUGAUUGGACAAUCUUUUACAUCUUGAACAUUGAGACAUCCUGGUUUUCAAGGUGCUCUCUGUCUUCACGACCUUUGACCUGUUUUCCACCCAGAGGGCGGACAGAGGAUACCUGCUGUGCAGCCCAGAGGGGAGAUGUGAUUGGUAGAGCAGCGAUCAGGUGGGCUCUGCUUCUGUCUCUUCGCACAAUAACAUCCUUGUCCUCUCUGCGGAGUGCAGGGGGCCCUCGGCUCCUGGAGACAAGGGGGACUCCUGUUUGUAAACCUUUGAUCAGUGAUUGUGAGCUCCUUCUAUUCACCGAUCACACACACUCAUUAGACCUGCAGAGGGGCAGAUGGGGCCCGCACUACUUACAUUAAAGGGGGGGGGGGUCAAAUGUUAUAAUACAUCCUUCGAUUUACAGUUUAAUUUCAUUGUAUCAGGUACCAAUAAAAACAUGAUUGUGUGGGGGAAAAAAGGAGAAAGAAUUGGGUAUUUUAGAGGAAAGGAGAAAUUACAUACUUUAAAGGGACAGUUCACCCCAAAAUAAAUAAAAUAAAAACACCUGUUGAGCUAUUUAUCUGGAUAGUUUUGGUGUGAGUGUUGAAGAUGUAAGAUGUAAAGAUGUCUGCAUCUCCAAUAUAAUGGAACUACGUGGCAGAUAAUCCACAGAUCCUUGUUGUGAGCAGUUUCAUGUAGGAACUAUUUUCUUUCUACCGAUAUACACCCUCCAACCGUAUCACCGCGCCGAAGCAAGCGUGCAUCAACUCAUGGCCGAGAGGCGUGUGACAGCGUGAGAUGUAAACAUUAACGGUGUCCUCCUUGGCUGAGCUGUAACAUUAUCUAGCUUCAGGAGAGCCUCAUGUCCAAGAGGAGAUGCACGUUUCCUUCUGUGGUGAUACGGUUUGCGGGUGAAGUUUGGUAGAAAGGAAAUCCCUCCGCCAACUCACACCAAAACAAUCUAGAUUUCCUUUAUAGCAGUAGGCUACAGGUAAGAGGAGGAACUGUAUUUAUGUAAAUACUUGUUACUUUUGAGGUACAGUAAUAGAAAACACAACUGAAGUUUUUGGAAAAUUGGUGUUAACAAAAUUGAUAAUCUGCUAAACCUACCAAGUAAUUAUGUACAGUUAUAAUAAGCUUUUGUUCUGUACCCCAAAGGUAACCAGUAUUUAAUAACAGAGUAUCAUUAUUACGCCCUUGUUCCCCAUCGUCUUGUUUUCUUCUUCUGUAUCUGUAUUAGUAGCCUGUAAGCCUUUCAUUGGAGCCUAAUUUAUACAACACAAUUACACAGUAACUCAUGGGCUGUCAAAGUGUUACCAGGACUUCCUCUGUCGCUAUGUAAAAAAUUAAAAUGCAAAAUCAGAUA
Molecule: long non-coding RNA, 1708 nt
Organism: Cottoperca gobio
Lineage: Eukaryota; Metazoa; Chordata; Actinopteri; Perciformes; Bovichtidae
Exons: 5
Source: RefSeq, a predicted model, not a curated record